CCCCCAGAGACUACCUGCAGUUUUAUACACGUCGUUUUGUACUCUCUUCUAUGUGUUUGCAUAGGUGACAUUCACAAAGCUGUCUUGACACUUUCCAUGUGAUUCAUCUCUUGUUCUAUAGUUUGUAUAAACCUAUCGAGAAUAUAAAAUCCAGCAACUGAAAUUAUGGUCACAACUGUAUGAAAACUUAAGAACAUACAUCAGUUCUGUCAUAUAAUGGAACAACUAUGCUCAACUUAUGUUCAGUGAAAUGUAUAUACUGUAGUUAUUUUAAAUAACCCUUAAUACAAAUAAAAUGGUAUAAUUUGAAUUGGAUGUAAAACAUGGAGCAAGCCCCAGAAAAUGUUUCCCACGAUUAUACGUUGGCAGUCAGUUUCCCACCAAUCAAAAUUUACUUGUCUUUUAUCUCACUCCCCCAGGAACAUGCUCUUUUAAAUGCCACGAUUUGAUUAGUCUGAAAGAGUCUGCGAUAAUCUCUAAUCACCCAUUGAGUGUCCAAGGAAAACCUUAGCCCUGGUAAGAGGAUAAGGAUUUUUGUCUUCUAGAACACAUUUUGGGAAUCUAAUCCAAUUCCUUUAUAAAUCUUUUGGGGUAAAAAUUAUAUCACAAAUAUAUACUGUUAAUUUUUCUUGGCUACUAGGAGCAAAUUGGGCUCCCUCAAAUUUGGUAAAAUAUGCUGAAUACUUACCGAAAAUGCUGGAACAUUAGCUUAGGAAACUUUGCAUAAGAGUUAUUCACUUGGAAAUGAGAAUCUUUAAAGGCUUUAUAAAGACCCCAAAUCUCUG
This 785-nucleotide long non-coding RNA is filed under the name Bos taurus (domestic cattle). RNAcentral describes it as "long non-coding RNA NONBTAT022354". The record is from RNAcentral. Lineage: Eukaryota; Metazoa; Chordata; Mammalia; Artiodactyla; Bovidae.